CUACGGGCGGCACCAGUGAGGAAUAUUGCACAAUGGGGGGAACCCUGAUGCAGCAACGCCGCGUGGAGGAUGACGCAUUUCGGUGUGUAAACUCCUUUUAUAUGUCAAGAAAAUGACGGUAGCAUAUGAAUAAGCACCGGCUAACUCCGUGCCAGCAGCCGCGGUAAUACGGAGGGUGCAAGCGUUACUCGGAGUCACUGGGCGUAAAGGACGCGUAGGCGGGUUGGAAAGUCAGGUGUGAAAUCCUACAGCUUAACUGUAGAACUGCACUUGAAACUUCUAAUCUAGAGUAUGGGAGGGGAAGAUGGAAUUAGUGGUGUAGGGGUAAAAUCCGUAGAUAUCACUAGGAAUACCUAAAGCGAAGGCGAUCUCCUGGAACAUUACUGACGCUAAGGCGUGAAAGCGUGGGGAGCAAACAGGAUUAGAUACCCUAGUAGUC
Molecule: ribosomal RNA, 439 nt
Filed under: uncultured bacterium
Lineage: Bacteria
Description: partial 16S ribosomal RNA
Rfam family: Bacterial small subunit ribosomal RNA
Source: RNAcentral